UAAGCGGACUACGGGAGCCCCUGCAGGGGCUGAGAGGACCGGAGCACCGGUCGACCGUCCACACCUGACGCGGAUCAUGCCGCCGGAGGAAAGGAACGCAUGAACACA
Molecule: non-coding RNA, 108 nt
Filed under: Corynebacterium variabile
Lineage: Bacteria; Bacillati; Actinomycetota; Actinomycetes; Mycobacteriales; Corynebacteriaceae
Description: TPP sequence
Rfam family: TPP riboswitch aptamer (THI element)
About the family: Vitamin B(1) in its active form thiamin pyrophosphate (TPP) is an essential coenzyme that is synthesised by coupling of pyrimidine and thiazole moieties in bacteria. The previously detected thiamin-regulatory element, thi box was extended, resulting in a new, highly conserved RNA secondary structure, the THI element, which is widely distributed in eubacteria and also occurs in some archaea. Analysis of operon structures identified a large number of new candidate thiamin-regulated genes, mostly transporters, in various prokaryotic organisms.
Source: RNAcentral